Molecule: transfer RNA, 53 nt
Filed under: Meloidogyne exigua
Lineage: Eukaryota; Metazoa; Nematoda; Chromadorea; Rhabditida; Meloidogynidae
Description: tRNA-Cys
Source: RNAcentral
UUGGUUAAUUAUUUUAAUAUUUUUAUUUGCAAAAUAAAAGAUUUUUAAUUAAU